RNAcentral lists this ribosomal RNA (445 nucleotides) under uncultured bacterium. RNAcentral's name for it is "bacterial SSU rRNA". It matches the Rfam family "Bacterial small subunit ribosomal RNA", at positions 28 to 456 of the family's 1533-position model. The record is from RNAcentral.
GAUGAACGCUGGCGGCGUGCUUAACACAUGCAAGUCGAACGGGAAACUUUUCAUUGAAGCUUCGGCAGAUUUGGUCUGUUUCUAGUGGCGGACGGGUGAGUAACGCGUGGGUAACCUGCCUUAUACAGGGGGGUAACAACCAGAAAUGGUUGCUAAUACCGCAUAAGCGCACAGGACCGCAUGGUCCGGUGUGAAAAACUCCGGUGGUAUAAGAUGGACCCGCGUUGGAUUAGCUAGUUGGCAGGGUAACGGCCUACCAAGGCGACGAUCCAUAGCCGGCCUGAGAGGGUGAACGGCCACAUUGGGACUGAGACACGGCCCAGACUCCUACGGGAGGCAGCAGUGGGGAAUAUUGCACAAUGGGGGAAACCCUGAUGCAGCGACGCCGCGUGAAGGAAGAAGUAUCUCGGUAUGUAAACUUCUAUCAGCAGGGAAGAUAGUGACG